Molecule: ribosomal RNA, 71 nt
Filed under: Escherichia coli
Lineage: Bacteria; Pseudomonadati; Pseudomonadota; Gammaproteobacteria; Enterobacterales; Enterobacteriaceae
Source: RNAcentral
UCUGGCGGCAGUAGCGCGGUGGUCCCACCUGACCCCAUGCCGAACUCAGAAGUGAAACGCCGUAACGCCGA